AGAUUAAGUUAUUAAGGGCGCACGGUGGAUGCCUUGGCACUAGAAGCCGACGAAGGACGUUACUAACGACGAUAUGCUUUGGGGAGCUGUAAGUAAGCUUUGAUCCAGAGAUUUCCGAAUGGGGAAACCCAGCACGAGUUAUGUCGUGUUAUCUGCAUGUGAAUACAUAGCAUGCAAGAAGGCAGACCCGGAGAACUGAAACAUCUUAGUACCCGGAGGAAGAGAAAGAAAAAUCGAUUCCCUGAGUAGCGGCGAGCGAAACGGGAAGAGCCCAAACCAAUAAGCUUGCUUAUUGGGGUUGUAGGACACUCUGUACGGAGUUACAAAAGAAUUUGUUAGACGAAUAACCUGGAAAGGUUAAUCAGAGAAGGUAAUAAUCCUGUAGUCGAAAACGAAUUCUCUCUUGAGUGGAUCCUGAGUACGACGGAGCACGUGAAAUUCCGUCGGAAUCUGGGAGGACCAUCUCCUAAGGCUAAAUACUCUCUAGUGACCGAUAGUGAACCAGUACCGUGAGGGAAAGGUGAAAAGUACCCCGGAAGGGGAGUGAAAGAGAACUUGAAACCGUGUGCUUACAAGUAGUCAGAGCCCGUUAAUGGGUGAUGGCGUGCCUUUUGUAGAAUGAACCGGCGAGUUACGAUCUGAUGCAAGGUUAAGCAGAAAAUGUGGAGCCGUAGCGAAAGCGAGUCUGAAUAGGGCGAAUGAGUAUUUGGUCGUAGACCCGAAACCAGGUGAUCUACCCUUGGUCAGGUUGAAGUUCAGGUAACACUGAAUGGAGGACCGAACCGACUUACGUUGAAAAGUGAGCGGAUGAACUGAGGGUAGCGGAGAAAUUCCAAUCGAACUUGGAGAUAGCUGGUUCUCUCCGAAAUAGCUUUAGGGCUAGCCUCAAGUGAUGAUUAUUGGAGGUAGAGCACUGUUUGGACGAGGGGCCCCUCUCGGGUUACCGAAUUCAGACAAACUCCGAAUGCCAAAUAAUUUAACUUGGGAGUCAGAAUGUGGGUGAUAAGGUCCAUAUUCGAAAGGGAAACAGCCCAGACCACCAGCUAAGGUCCCAAAAUAUAUGUUAAGUGGAAAAGGAUGUGGCGUUGCCCAGACAACUAGGAUGUUGGCUUAGAAGCAGCCAUCAUUUAAAGAGUGCGUAAUAGCUCACUAGUCGAGUGACACUGCGCCGAAAAUGUACCGGGGCUAAACAUAUUACCGAAGCUGUGGAUUGUCCAUUGGACAAUGGUAGGAGAGCGUUCUAAGGGC
RNAcentral lists this ribosomal RNA (1248 nucleotides) under Staphylococcus pseudintermedius. RNAcentral describes it as "partial 23S ribosomal RNA". It matches the Rfam family "Bacterial large subunit ribosomal RNA", at positions 1 to 1248 of the family's 2925-position model. Lineage: Bacteria; Bacillati; Bacillota; Bacilli; Caryophanales; Staphylococcaceae. The record is from RNAcentral.